GUAGUAACACGUGGGUGAUCUGCCCUGCACUUCGGGAUAAGCCUGGGAAACUGGGUCUAAUACCGGAUAGGAGCCAUUUUUAGUGUGAUGGUUGGAAAGUUUUUCGGUGUAGGAUGAGCUCGCGGCCUAUCAGCUUGUUGGUGGGGUAAUGGCCUACCAAGGCGGCGACGGGUAGCCGGCCUGAGAGGGUGGACGGCCACAUUGGGACUGAGAUACGGCCCAG
This 223-nucleotide ribosomal RNA is filed under the name uncultured Actinomycetales bacterium. RNAcentral's name for it is "partial 16S ribosomal RNA". It matches the Rfam family "Bacterial small subunit ribosomal RNA", at positions 108 to 334 of the family's 1533-position model. The record is from RNAcentral. Lineage: Bacteria; Bacillati; Actinomycetota; Actinomycetes; Actinomycetales.